UUAAGUGACUAAGCGUACACGGUGGAUGCCUGGGCAGUCAGAGGCGAUGAAGGACGUACUAACUUGCGAUAAGCGCAGAUAAGGCAGUAAGAGCCGUUUGAGUCUGCGAUUUCCGAAUGGGGAAACCCAACUGCAUAAGCAGUUACUGUUAACUGAAUACAUAGGUUAACAGAGCAAACCGGGGGAACUGAAACAUCUAAGUACCCCGAGGAGAAGAAAUCAACCGAGAUUCCGGUAGUAGCGGCGAGCGAACCUGGAUUAGCCCUUAAGCACUCGGUGAAGUAGGUGAACAAGCUGGAAAGCUUGGCGAUACAGGGUGAUAGCCCCGUAACCGACGCUUCAUCGAGCGUGAAAUCGAGUAGGGCGGGACACGUGAUAUCCUGUCUGAAUAUGGGGGGACCAUCCUCCAAGGCUAAAUACUCCUGACUGACCGAUAGUGAACCAGUACCGUGAGGGAAAGGCGAAAAGAACCCCUGUGAGGGGAGUGAAAUAGAACCUGAAACCGUGUACGUACAAGCAGUAGGAGCACCUUCGUGGUGUGACUGCGUACCUUUUGUAUAAUGGGUCAGCGACUUAUAUUCAGUGGCAAGGUUAACCGUAUAGGGGAGCCGUAGCGAAAGCGAGUCUUAACUGGGCGUUCAGUCUCUGGAUAUAGACCCGAAACCGGGUGAUCUAGCCAUGGGCAGGUUGAAGGUUGAGUAACAUCAACUGGAGGACCGAACCGACUAAUGUUGAAAAAUUAGCGGAUGACUUGUGGCUAGGGGUGAAAGNGCCAAUCAAACUCGGAGAUAGCUGGUUCUCCCCGAAAGCUAUUUAGGUAGCGCCUCGGACGAAUACUACUGGGGGUAGAGCACUGUUAAGGCUAGGGGGUCAUCCCGACUUACCAACCCUUUGCAAACUCCGAAUACCAGUAAGUACUAUCCGGGAGACACACGGCGGGUGCUAACGUCCGUCGUGGAGAGGGAAACAACCCAGACCGCCAGCUAAGGUCCCAAAGUAUUGCUAAGUGGGAAACGAUGUGGGAAGGCUCAGACAGCUAGGAUGUUGGCUUAGAAGCAGCCAUCAUUUAAAGAAAGCGUAAUAGCUCACUAGUCGAGUCGGCCUGCGCGGAAGAUGUAACGGGGCUAAGCAAUACACCGAAGCUGCGGCAAUAUCUUUUAGAUAUUGGGUAGGGGAGCGUUCUGUAAGCCGUUGAAGGUGAAUCGUAAGGUUUGCUGGAGGUAUCAGAAGUGCGAAUGCUGACAUGAGUAACGACAAAGGGGGUGAAAAACCUCCUCGCCGGAAGACCAAGGGUUCCUGUCCAACGUUAAUCGGGGCAGGGUGAGUCGACCCCUAAGGUGAGGCCGAAAGGCGUAAUCGAUGGGAAACGGGUUAAUAUUCCCGUACUUCUGACUAUUGCGAUGGGGGGACGGAGAAGGCUAGGUGGGCCAGGCGACGGUUGUCCUGGUUCAAGUGCGUAGGCUUGAGAGUUAGGUAAAUCCGGCUCUCUCUAAGGCUGAGACACGACGUCGAGCUGCUACGGCAGUGAAGUCAUUGAUGCCAUGCUUCCAGGAAAAGCCUCUAAGCUUCAGAUAGUCAGGAAUCGUACCCCAAACCGACACAGGUGGUCGGGUAGAGAAUACCAAGGCGCUUGAGAGAACUCGGGUGAAGGAACUAGGCAAAAUGGUACCGUAACUUCGGGAGAAGGUACGCUCUUGAUGGUGAAGUCCCUCGCGGAUGGAGCUGACGAGAGUCGCAGAUACCAGGUGGCUGCAACUGUUUAUUAAAAACACAGCACUGUGCAAAAUCGCAAGAUGACGUAUACGGUGUGACGCCUGCCCGGUGCCGGAAGGUUAAUUGAUGGGGUUAGCGCAAGCGAAGCUCUUGAUCGAAGCCCCGGUAAACGGCGGCCGUAACUAUAACGGUCCUAAGGUAGCGAAAUUCCUUGUCGGGUAAGUUCCGACCUGCACGAAUGGCGUAAUGAUGGCCACGCUGUCUCCACCCGAGACUCAGUGAAAUUGAAAUCGCUGUGAAGAUGCAGUGUACCCGCGGCUAGACGGAAAGACCCCGUGAACCUUUACUACAGCUUGGCACUGAACAUUGAACCUACAUGUGUAGGAUAGGUGGGAGGCUAUGAAGACGUGACGCCAGUUGCGUUGGAGCCGUCCUUGAAAUACCACCCUUGUAUGUUUGAUGUUCUAACUUAGACCCGUUAUCCGGGUUGAGGACAGUGCCUGGUGGGUAGUUUGACUGGGGCGGUCUCCUCCCAAAGAGUAACGGAGGAGCACGAAGGUGGGCUAAUCACGGUUGGACAUCGUGAGGUUAGUGCAAUGGCAUAAGCCCGCUUAACUGCGAGAAUGACGGUUCGAGCAGGUGCGAAAGCAGGUCAUAGUGAUCCGGUGGUUCUGUAUGGAAGGGCCAUCGCUCAACGGAUAAAAGGUACUCCGGGGAUAACAGGCUGAUACCGCCCAAGAGUUCAUAUCGACGGCGGUGUUUGGCACCUCGAUGUCGGCUCAUCACAUCCUGGGGCUGAAGUCGGUCCCAAGGGUAUGGCUGUUCGCCAUUUAAAGUGGUACGCGAGCUGGGUUUAGAACGUCGUGAGACAGUUCGGUCCCUAUCUGCCGUGGGCGUUGGAAGAUUGAAGGGGGCUGCUCCUAGUACGAGAGGACCGGAGUGGACGAACCUCUGGUGUUCGGGUUGUGUCGCCAGACGCAUUGCCCGGUAGCUAAGUUCGGAAUUGAUAAGCGCUGAAAGCAUCUAAGCGCGAAGCGAGCCCUGAGAUGAGUCUUCCCUGAUACUUUAAGUAUCCUAAAGGGUUGUUCGAGACUAGAACGUUGAUAGGCAGGGUGUGUAAGCGUUGUGAGGCGUUGAGCUAACCUGUACUAAUUGCCCGUGAGGCUUAACCAU
This 2886-nucleotide ribosomal RNA is filed under the name Vibrio cholerae. RNAcentral describes it as "bacterial LSU rRNA". It matches the Rfam family "Bacterial large subunit ribosomal RNA". Lineage: Bacteria; Pseudomonadati; Pseudomonadota; Gammaproteobacteria; Vibrionales; Vibrionaceae. The record is from RNAcentral.